Molecule: ribosomal RNA, 433 nt
Filed under: uncultured Coriobacteriaceae bacterium
Lineage: Bacteria; Bacillati; Actinomycetota; Coriobacteriia; Coriobacteriales; Coriobacteriaceae
Description: partial 16S ribosomal RNA
Rfam family: Bacterial small subunit ribosomal RNA
Source: RNAcentral
ACGGAAGGCGCAGUGGGGAAUUUUGCGCAAUGGGGGAAACCCUGACGCAGCAACGCCGCGUGCGGGAUUGAAGGCCUUCGGGUUGUAAACCGCUUUCAGUGGGGACAAAGAUGAUGGUACCCACAGAAGAAGCUCCGGCUAACUACGUGCCAGCAGCCGCGGUAAUACGUAGGGAGCGAGCGUUAUCCGGAUUCAUUGGGCGUAAAGCGCGCGUAGGCGGACCGUUAAGCGGGAUGUUAAAGCCCGGGGCUCAACCCCGGCCCGCAUCCCGAACUGGCGGUCUUGAGUUCGGUAGGGGAGGACGGAAUUCCCAGUGUAGCGGUGAAAUGCGCAGAUAUUGGGAAGAACACCGAUGGCGAAAGCAGUCCUCUGGGCCGCAACUGACGCUGAGGCGCGAAAGCUGGGGGAGCGAACAGGAUUAGAUACCCUGGUA